Long non-coding RNA from Halichondria panicea, 566 nucleotides. RefSeq lists it as uncharacterized. The record is from RefSeq and is a predicted model, not a curated record. The transcript is spliced from 6 exons. NCBI's taxonomy places the organism in Eukaryota, Metazoa, Porifera, Demospongiae, Suberitida, Halichondriidae.
AUCCAGCCAGUGAAAUAGUUGGCUACUAUAAUUAUAUAGCUGCAGGCUACAUUGGUCUCUCUGGUGGUGAAUGUAUUGGGUGGAAAACUGAAAAUAUGGGACAGAGACAGUCUGCUGAGCAACAGGGUGAGGAGUUAAGGGAGGCUGCUAGCGAGAAAAGUAUCGAGUCCAAGCAGGCCGAGGAGUUAAUGGAGGCCGCUGGAGUGAAAACUACUCAGUCUAAAAUUAUAGGCAACAGGCUGAGGAGUUAAGGGAAGCUGCUGGAAUGAAAGAUAUGUCUUCUGAAGCCAGUUAAUGAUGCUGGUGACGCUCCACUCUCUCUGGCCUGUGCCAAUGGCCACAUGGACAUGAUCAAAUAUUUUGUGGAGGAUCAGCAUUGUAACCCUAAAAGGACAGUCAACAAGGCUGGUGACACCCCACUCUCUCUGGCCUACAAAGGUGGACACUGGGAAGUGGUCAAGUAUCUCGCCAUAACUCAUCACUGUGAUACAAAAAGUAUAGUUUUGAUGUUAGUAUAAUUACGUUCUUAUACGCGCCGGCUGUGCAAGCUAUAAUAAUUAUUAUAC